UGGACUUUGCAUCGAAUAGAGCGGAGAGAGAGCGGGAGAGCGGCGUCUGAAGCGCCAUCCGAGAGAAAAUCUGGAGCCAGAGGUGAAAAUGAAUCAACGCUGAAGCCGAGCAUAAAACCACAGACGAGAGAGUUGUUGCUGAUAAAUUCCGACUGUACGCCACGCAGCGUUUAUGGACUACACGUGGACAACAGCUGGAGGAGACACAGUCUGCAGCCUCUGAAGACGUGGCGCUGGAGACAACUGUGCAAAUGGUGCCUCAGCACCGGCUUCCCUGUCAGCCCCACGUCAGAAAGUAAGAGAAUAAUACGCGCUUCUUACUUAUGCUUCAGUUUGUUAGAUAGUUUAUAUUAUAUUUUUUUACUGAAUUUUUUUUUACUAACUAAAAAUACCUUCUGUGUUUCCCUUUUCCAAUGCAAACAAAUAUAAUAACAGGAAAUGACUCAGUGAUUCAAUUUGUACAAGAAGAACCAGAACUAUAAUAUGUAAUUAAAACUGUAAAAGUCAAACUUAACUGGAUCUCACUAACCUAUAAUUUACCUUCGGUUCAUUGAUGAAAAGUCACUGAACCUAAAAGUAAAAAAAAACCCAAAGCUACAUUGGAGCAGACAUAAAGCAGGUGAGAGGAUGUGUUGACUGUAGCCCUUUCUUAAACGAUGGCAGUAAUUAAAAGCGAGGCCAUUAAACAAAGUAACACUUAUUAGUGAGCUCUAAAGCUCCAUUAUCCCUCUCGUAUGCUCCUUUUGGGCAGGGGGCCACGGGAAACAACCAGUAAAAGGCGGCACUCAUUAAACACACACCAACUAGCUGCUGUUGGUCAGAGCAUCGCUCUGUUGACACCACAACUGCCUCCUCUGGUUUUUAAAGCCAGUACAUAGUUAACGGCAGCAGGAUCUACUCUGCUGCGAAAGGUCGCAUUUGAAAAGUGAUAUGCUAAUACUGCAAUUUCCAUAGAGAUGCCUUCUACUGCACAACACAGUAACAUAAAUAAGUAUGUCUCAGUAUAUUGAACCUAUACUGGUCAGAUUUCAGGGGUGAAAAUAAGGUCGGAGAGAGUCUGGAGAAUUUUGAGGCGCUGGAAACGACGGCGCGAGGGAUCUCGGGAUUCAGAGCAAGUUUUAUUUGAGAACUAAACACUCCCACAGUUGGUAUUUCAUGCAGUAGAAACCCCCACACACACCGAGAAGUCAGAGUCGAGCAUCAGCCGCGCAGGAUCUUUUCUGAGCCCCGGAGGCGGCAUGUAACUCUUCAUCCUCUUCGAUUUCUCAUACGGUGAAAGAUAAAGGCACAUAGCUCCAAGUGCUAAAAGAGACUAUUGACUUCAUUAUAAACAAAAGCCUACAUUCACACCUUGAAACCAGCAAUAAAAUUGUAAAGCUAAAAGGAAAUUAGACUGAA
RNAcentral lists this long non-coding RNA (1398 nucleotides) under Betta splendens (Siamese fighting fish). RNAcentral describes it as "lncRNA (ENSBSLG00000012365.1)". The record is from RNAcentral. Lineage: Eukaryota; Metazoa; Chordata; Actinopteri; Anabantiformes; Osphronemidae.